Molecule: ribosomal RNA, 310 nt
Filed under: Bacillus licheniformis
Lineage: Bacteria; Bacillati; Bacillota; Bacilli; Caryophanales; Bacillaceae
Description: bacterial SSU rRNA
Rfam family: Bacterial small subunit ribosomal RNA
Source: RNAcentral
CUGCAGUCGAGCGGACAGAUGGGAGCUUGCUCCCUGAUGUUAGCGGCGGACGGGUGAGUAACACGUGGGUAACCUGCCUGUAAGACUGGGAUAACUCCGGGAAACCGGGGCUAAUACCGGAUGCUUGAUUGAACCGCAUGGUUCAAUUAUAAAAGGUGGCUUUUAGCUACCACUUACAGAUGGACCCGCGGCGCAUUAGCUAGUUGGUGAGGUAACGGCUCACCAAGGCAACGAUGCGUAGCCGACCUGAGAGGGUGAUCGGCCACACUGGGACUGAGACACGGCCCAAACUCCUACGGGAGGCAGCAGU